Molecule: ribosomal RNA, 231 nt
Filed under: uncultured bacterium
Lineage: Bacteria
Description: partial 16S ribosomal RNA
Rfam family: Bacterial small subunit ribosomal RNA
Source: RNAcentral
CGGACGGGUGAGUAAUGUCUGGGAAACUGCCCAUGGAGGGGGAGUAACUACUGGAAACGGUAGCUAAUACCGCAUAACGUCGCAAGACCAAAGAGGGGACCUUCGGGCCUCUUGCCAUCGGAUGUGCCCAGAUGGGAUUAGCUAGUAGGUGGGGUAACGGCUCACCUAGGCGACGAUCCCUAGCUGGUCUGAGAGGAUGACCAGCCACACUGGAACUGAGACACGGUCCAG